Molecule: ribosomal RNA, 509 nt
Filed under: Bacteroides thetaiotaomicron
Lineage: Bacteria; Pseudomonadati; Bacteroidota; Bacteroidia; Bacteroidales; Bacteroidaceae
Description: bacterial SSU rRNA
Rfam family: Bacterial small subunit ribosomal RNA
Source: RNAcentral
AAGGCAAAUGUGAAGGUGCUGCAUGGUUGUCGUCAGCUCGUGCCGUGAGGUGUCGGCUUAAGUGCCAUAACGAGCGCAACCCUUAUCUUUAGUUACUAACAGGUCAUGCUGAGGACUCUAGAGAGACUGCCGUCGUAAGAUGUGAGGAAGGUGGGGAUGACGUCAAAUCAGCACGGCCCUUACGUCCGGGGCUACACACGUGUUACAAUGGGGGGUACAGAAGGCAGCUACCUGGUGACAGGAUGCUAAUCCCAAAAGCCUCUCUCAGUUCGGAUCGAAGUCUGCAACCCGACUUCGUGAAGCUGGAUUCGCUAGUAAUCGCGCAUCAGCCAUGGCGCGGUGAAUACGUUCCCGGGCCUUGUACACACCGCCCGUCAAGCCAUGAAAGCCGGGGGUACCUGAAGUACGUAACCGCAAGGAGCGUCCUAGGGUAAAACUGGUAAUUGGGGCUAAGUCGUAACAAGGUAGCCGUACCGGAAGGUGCGGCUGGAACACCUCCUUUCUGGAGC